This 255-nucleotide ribosomal RNA is filed under the name uncultured bacterium. RNAcentral describes it as "partial 16S ribosomal RNA". It matches the Rfam family "Bacterial small subunit ribosomal RNA", at positions 524 to 776 of the family's 1533-position model. The record is from RNAcentral.
UACAGAGGUCUCAAGCGUUGUUCGGAUUCAUUGGGCGUAAAGGGUGCGUAGGUGGCGCCGUAAGUCAGGUGUGAAAUUUCGGAGCUUAACUCCGAAACUGCAUUUGAUACUGCGGUGCUUGAGGACUGGAGAGGAGACUGGAAUUUACGGUGUAGCAGUGAAAUGCGUAGAGAUCGAUAAGGAAGACCAGUGGCGAAGGCGGGUCUCGUGGACAGUUCCUGACACUGAGGCACGAAGGCCAGGGGAGCAAACGGG